UGGUGGCGAGUGGCGAACGGGUGAGUAAUGCAUCGGAACGUGCAUGAGUGGGGAUAACGUAGCGAAAGUUGCGCUAAUACCGCAUAUUCUGUGAGCAGGAAAGCAGGGGACCGCAAGGCCUUGCGCUCUUUGAGCGGCCGAUGUCAGAUUAGUUAGUUGGUGAGGUAACGGCUUACCAAGGCGACGAUCUGUAGCGGGUCUGAGAGGAUGAUCCGCCACACUGGAACUGAGACACGGUCCAGACUCCUACGGGAGGCAGCAGUGGGGAAUUUUGGACAAUGGGCGCAAGCCUGAUCCAGCCAUGCCGCGUGAGUGAAGAAGGCCUUCGGGUUGUAAAGCUCUUUCGGCCGGGAAGAGAUCGCAUGGGUUAAUACCCUGUGUGGAUGACGGUACCGGAAUAAGAAGCACCGGCUAACUACGUG
RNAcentral lists this ribosomal RNA (422 nucleotides) under uncultured bacterium. RNAcentral describes it as "bacterial SSU rRNA". It matches the Rfam family "Bacterial small subunit ribosomal RNA", at positions 86 to 507 of the family's 1533-position model. The record is from RNAcentral.